AUGACGAUCAUGAGCUGGAACUGUCGAGGCCUCGGGCAACCUCGAACAGUUCAAGAACUGGUGUAUCUUGUACACACACAGAAGCCCAAGCUCGUCUUCCUCACCAAAACUCGGCAAAAUAACAAGUAUGUCUCAAAGCUCAAAUGGAGGCUGGGCCUCUGCCAUUGUAUCACGCAACCCGGUAUCGGUAAGGGUGCUGACAUUGCUCUUUUCUAUGAUGAAAGUGUGGGAAUA
Molecule: ribosomal RNA, 234 nt
Filed under: Triticum aestivum (bread wheat)
Lineage: Eukaryota; Viridiplantae; Streptophyta; Magnoliopsida; Poales; Poaceae
Description: partial small subunit ribosomal RNA
Source: RNAcentral